AUUGAACGCUGGCGGCAGGCCUAACACAUGCCAGUCGAGCGGAUGAAGGGAGCUUGCUCCUGGAUUCAGCGGCGGACGGGUGAGUAAUGCCUAGGAAUCUGCCUGGUAGUGGGGGAUAACGUCCGGAAACGGGCGCUAAUACCGCAUACGUCCUGAGGGAGAAAGUGGGGGAUCUUCGGACCUCACGCUAUCAGAUGAGCCUAGGUCGGAUUAGCUAGUUGGUGGGGUAAAGGCCUACCAAGGCGACGAUCCGUAACUGGUCUGAGAGGAUGAUCAGUCACACUGGAACUGAGACACGGUCCAGACUCCUACGGGAGGCAGCAGUGAGGAAUAUUGGACAAUGGGCGAAAGCCUGAUCCAGCCAUGCCGCGUGUGUGAAGAAGGUCUUCGGAUUGUAAAGCACUUUAAGUUGGGAGGAAGGGCAGUAAGUUAAUACCUUGCUGUUUUGACGUUACCAACAGAAUAAGCACCGGCUAACUUCGUG
Molecule: ribosomal RNA, 484 nt
Filed under: uncultured bacterium
Lineage: Bacteria
Description: partial 16S ribosomal RNA
Rfam family: Bacterial small subunit ribosomal RNA
Source: RNAcentral